GGCGGCGGAGGCGAAGGGGCGGCGGGACCCGGGCCUGGCCCGUAUGUGUCCUUGGCGGCCUAGACUAGGCCGUCGCUGUAUGGUGAGCCCCAGGGAGGCGGAUCUGGGCCCCCAGAAGGACACCCGCCUGGAUUUGCCCCGUAGGCCCGGCCCGGGCCCCUCGGGAGCAGAACAGCCUUGGUGAGGUGGACAGGAGGGGACCUCGCGAGCAGACGCGCGCGCCAGCGACAGCAGCCCCGCCCCGGCCUCUCGGGAGCCGGGGGGCAGAGGCUGCGGAGCCCCAGGAGGGCCGGAGCCCUCAUGACUUCAGUGACCUGCUUCUGCCCCUCUAGGUCUAUCAGCCACAGUCUCUGCAUGUUUCCAAG
RNAcentral lists this long non-coding RNA (365 nucleotides) under Homo sapiens (human). RNAcentral's name for it is "non-protein coding lnc-HIP1-1:9". Lineage: Eukaryota; Metazoa; Chordata; Mammalia; Primates; Hominidae. The record is from RNAcentral.